Molecule: ribosomal RNA, 468 nt
Filed under: uncultured bacterium
Lineage: Bacteria
Description: partial 16S ribosomal RNA
Rfam family: Bacterial small subunit ribosomal RNA
Source: RNAcentral
GACGAACGCUGGCGGCGUGCUUAACACAUGCAAGUCGAACGGAAAGGCCCUGCUUUUUUGGUGUGCUCGAUUGGCGAACGGGUGAGUAACACGUGAGUAACCUGCCCUUGACUUUGGGAUAACUUCAGGAAACUGGGGCUAAUACCGGAUAGCAGCUCCUGCUGCAUGGUGAGGGUUGGAAAUUUUCGGCGGUUGGGGAUGGACUCGCGGCUUAUCAGCUUGUUGGUGGGGUAGUGGCUUACCAAGGCUUUGACGGGUAGCCGGCCUGAGAGGGUGACCGGCCACAUUGGGACUGAGAUACGGCCCAGACUCCUACGGGAGGCAGCAGUGGGGAAUAUUGCACAAUGGGCGGAAGCCUGAUGCAGCAACGCCGCGUGCGGGAUGACGGCCUUCGGGUUGUAAACCGCUUUCGCCUGUGACGAAGCGUGAGUGACGGUAAUGGGUAAAGAAGCACCGGCUAACUACGUG